UAAUACGUAGGGGGCAAGCGUUGUCCGGAAUCAUUGGGCGUAAAGAGCGUGUAGGCGGCCUGCAUAGUCUGGUGUGAAAUCUCGGGGCUCAACCCCGAGCGGUCACUGGAUACUGGCAGGCUUGAGUCCGGAAGAGGAGUGUGGAAUUCCUGGUGUAGCGGUGGAAUGCGCAGAUAUCAGGAGGAACACCUAUGGCGAAGGCAGCACUCUGGUACGUGACUGACGCUGAGACGCGAAAGCGUGGGGAGCAAACAGGAUUAGAUACCCUGGUAGUCCACGCCGUAAACGAUGGAGGCUAGGUGUAGGCGGUGUCGAUUCCGUCUGUGCCGAAGCUAACGCAUUAAGCCUCCCGCCUGGGGAGUACGGCCGCAAGGCUA
This 377-nucleotide ribosomal RNA is filed under the name uncultured bacterium. Its description in RNAcentral is "bacterial SSU rRNA". It matches the Rfam family "Bacterial small subunit ribosomal RNA", at positions 521 to 896 of the family's 1533-position model. The record is from RNAcentral.